This 2472-nucleotide long non-coding RNA is filed under the name Pan troglodytes (chimpanzee). RNAcentral describes it as "long non-coding RNA NONPTRT016848". Lineage: Eukaryota; Metazoa; Chordata; Mammalia; Primates; Hominidae. The record is from RNAcentral.
AGAAUUUGAGAAUUUUUCUUUCAACGACUUCACAAGGUCUGUGUUAAGUAUCUGCACUUCACCAAGGGGAAGGCUGAAAUGUGGAGAAGCCAGGUGACCUCCCACAGUAACUCAGCUGUAGGAACCAGGGUAGCAUGCUCUGUACUCUCCUGCAGCUGUUUUAGAUCAUCCUCACACUCCGUGGGACAAGCUCUUACUCCCCCCACGUUAAAAAUGAGGACUUGAGCUCCAGUGUGAUGAAAUGACUUCUCAUGAUCAUACAACCAAGAAGGAAUAGGCUAGAGAUGGACACUGCCUUUGCCUUUUCCCUGGGACAGGAAGGCAGACCUAACCUGACCAUCUCACAGGUAAGGAAAUAUUCAAGGCCCCAAAACACCAUGGAGAUCAAUACCAGAGCGAGACUAAAAUCCAGAGCUCACAGUUUCUAGUCCUGUGUUCAUUUUGCAUUUCGUUAUGUUAUUUGAGCACAUUUGUGUUUUGGCAAGUUCAGCUCCUUAAGGAAAGGGUCCAGGUCUUUACAACUUGACAUCCCCACAAUGGCCAACACCAUGGAUUGCCUCUGAAGACAUGAAGCAUGUAUCGCUGAUUUGUGGAAUGAACCAACUGCUAUAACUCAUCUCUUUGGUGCCAACGUCUCACUUCUUCAAUUCAUUCUUCAUGCCACUUCUAAAAGUACGGUGCUAAAGCGUUUCUCCUCUUAUUCAACAAAUGCAAUCCUUUUCCACCUUAAGACUCAGCUCCAGUGCCAUCCUCCCUAUGAAGCCUUCUUCAAUCUCACCAUGAUAAUGCCCUGUCUCUGCCUCUCCCACGCUGCUUGACUAGUCCCUCUGCUAUACACUCAUGGGCGGCUCCUCCAUGACAUCAUCCGUUCCUUGAGGAACUGUCAGUCAUCUCUGUACUCUGAAUAAACAUUGAUGAGCAAACACAUAAAGGAAUGCAUGAAUGGGUGGAUGGACUCGUUAAUAAAUAAAGACAUAGAGAAAUGACAAGAUGGAGAGGUGAAAUAUUGGGACUUAGUAGUUAAAAGCAAUGGACUUUAUGUCAGAGCAUCCAACCCUACACAGAGCUUUACUCCUGACUUGCUGUGGGAUCUAGAUAAAGUCACCUCCCCUCUCUUGGCCUCUUUUUGCUUGUGUUUUAAAAGAAAGAGUUAGAGUAGAAUUGCUGCAACUCCUCAUUCUCUAAUUCUGUGAAUGAAAAGUUCAUCCUUGGACAAACCCCAUUAACGGAUGUUUUGUAUCUCCUCCCUUGAAAACAACAAUUGUCCCUCGACCAGCAUCUUAUCUGAAGCAAACCUUCUCUGCCUCAUCCCCACCAGAAGCUUUGCUAUCUCUUAAGGGACCUCCUCAGGGUGUUUGUGAACAAAAGCGAGUGUCUUAUCUGGUCACUCUCUCCUGCACUAUCCUGCCCUUGGAAAACAGGAAUGGAUUUGCAGAAAACAUAGCCUCUGAUAGUCUUUCCACCCCAGGAAUGGCUAGAAAGGCAGCCUCGGCUUUCUUGGAAAGACUGUGUAAUUUCAUGCUACUAUCAGGGCUGACAAGGAGGCAACCCCUAGCCCUGGACCCUUCAGCUAAGUUCAACUCCAGGUCAAGUCAGGGGCCCCCAGCAGCUCAGGGGCACAGGAUCCACAAGGAAGAAAUUCCAGGAUGUUGCCAGAAGCUAACAACAGUUCCCAGCUGUUCCCAGUCGCCUCUUGCCAUUGAAGUAGUUUGGAGUGGGGGUCUUCACACAGACACAGCAGAAGGAAGGUCAAAUGAAUGACUGUGCCUCUGGGCCAGGGUGGAGGACAGGCCAGUGAGAACAGAAGCCUCUUUGUUAUUGGCAGCUCCUGCACAUGGCCCCCUAGACCCUUGAUGGAGACCUCCCUCUCCCCCAAAUCUUGGGGACCUUGACAUCGGUGGUAUUGAUGCAGCUCUCCUCAUGUCAUCGUGGUAAAACUGCUGCUUGCAGCUUGCCUAGGGCCUGGAGCCUCGCUCUGCAAUUCCUUUUGGAGCACAUGCUGUGAAACUCUCUUAUUAAAAGGUAGUUCCAGAACUGAUCUCCCUUGAGUGGAACAAAAACAACAUCUAUCUUAGAAUUGAUUUUGUGCGGAAUGCCUGCUCCCGCCUCCCCACACCUCUCCACUCACCCCCAUUCCCCCAACCCCACUCUUUGUCUGGCAAGCUCCUGCUCAUCAUUCAGGUCCCAGUUUUGAUGUCCCCACUCAGAAAUGCCUCCCCUGCCCACCUUUCACAAACCAAAUUAUGCCCCUCCUCUUAACACAUUCAUCCAUUUUGCCUGGUUUUUUUUCCUUCCUAGAACUCACUACAGCUUGUACUUGUGCAUGUGUGUGUCUGUGCAGUGAUUAUGUCUGCAACUAGUACUUCAAUCUCCUGAUGGUAGAAGCUAUGUUUGUUUUUUCAUCACCAAGAACCCGCACACCUGCCUAGUACACUGCAAAUGAUCAACAAAUAGUUGUUUUUUUAAAAAAUG